Non-coding RNA from Rattus norvegicus (Norway rat), 1413 nucleotides. Lineage: Eukaryota; Metazoa; Chordata; Mammalia; Rodentia; Muridae. The record is from RefSeq and is a predicted model, not a curated record.
UAAACUCCCUCCUGUUCUUAUGAACCAAUUGAAGUUGAGGUUUCACUUGCUCUCAAGCCAUUCUUCUUUCUGCCCAUCCUCCAGUAUCUUAUGUUUGGCCUUCAGAGAAAUAAUGGUAAAAUGUAUGACCCUCAAGUCUAGCAAUGGGAACACAAAAAGGUAGAUCGUGUAGUACCGAUAUUAAAAAGUACUAGAAACUGAAUUCCAUAGUUGUUUUGUCCUUUGCUUUUUUGAAAAUUAAAUUGGACACAGAAGUUUUGAGUACACAUACAGGAAUAUUAAUAAAGUAUCUUAUCAUUGAAUGUACAAUGAGAAAAAGAAAUACAAUAUUCAUUCAGUUAAGGUCUGUAGGCAAAAUUCUGGCCUUUGGGAAAUAGAGAAAUCCUGGGAUAUGAACUGUGUAUCACAGGAAUGAACCUGGGAAACAAAAAUUAUCUAGAAGGAUCUCCUCCACUCUAUAUUCCUAAUUCGUUUCAAGCCAUGCUAAGCCCCUGACUAACUUUGUCCAUUCAGAAUAUAUAACCUCUAAUGAAGCAAAGAGAAAUCUCUAGCUUUAAAGAGAUGGAGUAUGUAAAGGUUUCCACUGUUAGACAGGAGAAACUCCUGGAAAUUGUACUCCAAAUCUGUUCAAUGUAAGGAAAGCUGUUUAGCAGGUAGGCCAUGGCAGUUCUCAGUGACAUCAUCAUUAGGACUCCCAGAAAAAUCUCUUGUAUCCUGGAGAGACCUCGCUUCUUCUGUGAUGUCACCAUUGUUGUACUGACUGCAACUGCCUAUCAGAUAUUGCUUCAGUACCUUUGGGUCUUCAAAUUGGCAUCUAAUGCAUUGUAAAUAGCCAUUUGGGAGGGCAAACAUAGAGGAUGAAGUGAUCAGACAUGGGGUGUAGAAGGUGACCUUCUGUCUAGGUAUAAAAAGAAGAAACACGUGGUCAAUGGGAAAGAUCCUUGAGUCUUGGAUUUUUAGGUGCUGAGGACAAAGAGAAGACACACAGAAGGACUGAGACAGAGGGUCUGAACUGGAAGGACAGAGACUGAUGGACAGAGCAGGAGAGGGGAUGACCUGAAAAGACCAGUUUGAGAUAAGGAGAACAAAGAUGUUGAUGGCUCCAAGCUUCUCCCUAGCCUGUCAAGCAAAAAGCAUAAGGACAAAAUGGAAAAGGCUCCAGCAAGUAAUCCUCUACUUUAUCUCCUGCUGUUUCAGAAUGAGGUGGAAACUUUCUCCAGUGCCCAUGUGUUGAAGACUCUUCCCCAUCUUUUCUUCUAUUAGUGUAGUGCCCACCUCGACCAGCAAGGAAGACACAUCACCGUUGGAUUCUUCUCAACAGCCUUUAUUUCAGGAAAACCUCAUUCUUGAUGAGGGGGGCCCCGAGGGAAAAAAGGCACUCCCCCUAAAUACAAGAAAGGCUGUGGUUGUAAA